Globicephala melas (long-finned pilot whale) is the source of this 1235-nucleotide long non-coding RNA. RefSeq lists it as uncharacterized. The record is from RefSeq and is a predicted model, not a curated record. NCBI's taxonomy places the organism in Eukaryota, Metazoa, Chordata, Mammalia, Artiodactyla, Delphinidae.
UCUUUCACAAGAAGAGAUGGCCAAGUCUGAAUUACAGAUAAAGCAAGCUUCUGACACUCCUACGUUUUCCCCCUCUUAUGUUAUAUACACACUGCCUACUUACCCAUGCUUGUGAUGAGAUAUUAAGGAAGGUCAUUUUCUGACAGUUCAGGAAGCUCAGCAGAUUCUGAAGAUCUCAAGGAGAAAGGAAUUCAUCAACAUUACCUGUACUGCAAGCAAAACUUGGUGGAGAUGAACCUCUUGUGUUUGGUUCAUAACUUGAAAAAGAAAGUUAAAUAUUGGAAGCUUUUAAAAGUUCAUUCCAAUAUUUUUAAUGAAAUCUCCACACAGUUAAAUUCUGUGGAUUUAGUAGGCUUCCAACUUUAUAUAACUCUAGAUUAGAAGACCGUUUAGAAAGGAUAUUUACAUAUGUUACUUAAAGCCUCUUGCCAAAUCUAUAUAGAUGAAACAUUAGACCAGCCUUUUGUGAUAAACAGUAUAAUCUCUGAUGAUUAUUUAUGAUCACAAGGAAAGUCUGUUAAAAAAAAAAAACCUACCCUAAUAUUAUUUGUAAAUAAGGGAAAAGGGUGACUGCAUGCCUUUUCAAUGUCACGCUGGAGCAUUGCCUAAUAGACCCACCCCCAAAUUAUUUCUCGAUAUGGUAUGCUUAAGUUGAUUCACUACUUAACCCAUGAUUAGGCCUGUGCAGUUAUAUGUUUACUCUAACAAGGUUUUAACCAGAGAUUUUGUCUGUUUGUUCUCAGAGAGUUGUCUGUUAGAGAUGCAAACAAUUGUUAUCUGAUAGAAAAGGUUACUAUUUUAUUGCCCUGUAGGACAUUAACCAGUUUUAUGUCUAACUUCAGGUUAUUUCAACAUGCCAUUCUAAGUUGACUAUAUAAAUCUCUUUGAUGCUUUUUGAUGUGGCUUCAUUGUUCUACUGGUUCCCUCAUUAAUGAGUUAAGUAUAUUUGACAUGUUUUCACUAUAUAUUUAUGUGAUUCAUUAUUUUAACUUUUUAAAAAUUAUACUUUGAAUAACAUAUUAGUUUGCAAAGGUAGCAAUGCAGACAUAGUUAUUAGUCCCUAAAUAUCAUAUUUGUAAUUUAAGUAGGGUGCCACCUAGUAUAUGGCAAACAUAGCACUUGAUCGUUUUAAAUUUUUGUAAAUAUGCAGACAUCUUUAUUGAAGUAGCCAAACAUAAUGUUCAUCAAUAUAUUUGGAAUUUGUGCGAUAUUUAAUUAAAGACACAUGCUGUUAA